This 468-nucleotide ribosomal RNA is filed under the name uncultured bacterium. Its description in RNAcentral is "partial 16S ribosomal RNA". It matches the Rfam family "Bacterial small subunit ribosomal RNA", at positions 28 to 507 of the family's 1533-position model. The record is from RNAcentral.
GACGAACGCUGGCGGCGUGCUUAACACAUGCAAGUCGAACGGAAAGGCCCUGCUUUUGUGGGGUGCUCGAGUGGCGAACGGGUGAGUAACACGUGAGUAACCUGCCCUUGACUUUGUGAUAACUUCAGGAAACUGGGGCUAAUACCGGAUAGGAGCUCCUGCUGCAUGGUGGGGGUUGGAAAGUUUCGGCGGUUGGGGAUGGACUCGCGGCUUAUCAGCUUGUUGGGGGGGUAGUGGCUUACCAAGGCUUUGACGGGUAGCCGGCCUGAGAGGGUGACCGGCCACAUUGGGACUGAGAGACGGCCCAGACUCCUACGGGAGGCAGCAGUGGGGAAUAUUGCACAAUGGGCGGAAGCCUGAUGCAGCAACGCCGCGUGCGGGAUGACGGCCUUCGGGUUGUAAACCGCUUUCGCCUGUGACGAAGCGUGAGUGACGGUAAUGGGUAAAGAAGCACCGGCUAACUACGUG